CUAGUUAAUCAUACAAAGAGAAAGGAACUGGUGACCUCCAGUAUGAACAUUGGUAUGUACUUUUAAAAUUGCAAAAGAGCGUCAUAUAAAGUAAGAAACACCACUUACCUGUCCCACCCCCACUCUUAACACUUGGUGAGCUCCAUGUUUCAGCACAGUUCCUUGGUGGCUAUGACAUCAAGACUAGAACAGGCUGGACCCCACUCACUGAGAGCUUAUUAGGAGGGGCUGAAAUUGGAAAGAAACGUUAUAUACCUCAUUCAUAUCUUCUGUAUCAUAAAACCUGUAACUGUGUAGGUCUCUACAGCAGCUAAUUCUGAAGACUGGAAAUGCUGGUAUCAUGGGUUUAUCAUCAUGACCAACAAGUGAUAUCUUAACAAAGUUACUUGAAAUGAUGGAUAUUAAGAUGAUUACAUCACAAACUAACCUCUAUUUCUACAAAAAGCCCACCAGGAUAAGUGUUUUUAUAAAGACUAUGGCAAAACUAACUUUAAUGAAGAAGGAGGAAUACAGUUCAUAAGCCUAAGUACCAAAGGUGACCAAUUCUCUGUUCUUAAGUUUUACCAUAGGAUGUGCAGAAGUUAUUUACCACAGAAAGCAAAAGGAAGCAAGCAGGUGUCUUCAUGGAAUUAAUGAAUUAUAGUUGAAAAGUUGACCUUAAAUGGAGUCCUAUUUGGAAACCAAAUGCCUUAAGCAGAACACUGAUAAACUUUGAGUAAAGUCAACUGGCCUGUCAAAAAGCACAGGGCACAACUUGCACCACCUACUUCACAUUUCUUGUCACCUUUCUGUAACCAAGAGAAAUCAACAGAACACAAAGCAAUCCAGUUGCAUACACAGCAGUGGCAGCAUGGCGCAGGCUAUCAAUUGCUCAUGGAGAAGAGUUUACUUCUAAUCUGAGACAUAAAACUUACUGAAGACAUCUCCUCAGUCACAGUCUCAGUCCCGAACAGCCGAUUUAAAGUCAACAGCAAAAGCACACCAACCUUGUCUGACACAUCAACUAAGGACUUGAGACUCAUCUGCAUCUCCCAAUAAACCAUCAUGGUGCAUUCCAGAAACGUUUCAAAUAAUCAUGUUACAGAAUAAGCAUGUUUUUAUGUACAUACAUAUGGUUAGUGAGCACUAGGAUGUCCCAAGAUGUACAACUGCGAAUGCCAGGAACUCCGGUAGCCAGAGUGUAGACAAAGAAAACUUUACAUCUUUCAUGAAUUAAGGCCCUCAUCAAACUACUGUGAUAUAAUCAGCUACAGAAGUACGCAUUAAACCAUAACUAAAAGAAGAAAUACCUUAA
RNAcentral lists this long non-coding RNA (1294 nucleotides) under Gallus gallus (chicken). RNAcentral describes it as "long non-coding RNA NONGGAT007778". The record is from RNAcentral. Lineage: Eukaryota; Metazoa; Chordata; Aves; Galliformes; Phasianidae.